Molecule: ribosomal RNA, 465 nt
Filed under: uncultured bacterium
Lineage: Bacteria
Description: partial 16S ribosomal RNA
Rfam family: Bacterial small subunit ribosomal RNA
Source: RNAcentral
CCUACGGGGGGCAGCAGUAGGGAAUCUUCCACAAUGGGCGAAAGCCUGAUGGAGCAACGCCGCGUGGGUGAAGAAGGUCUUCGGAUCGUAAAACCCUGUUGUUAGAGAAGAAAGUGCGUGAGAGUAACUGUUCACGUUUCGACGAUAUCUAACCAGAAACCCACGGCUAACUACGUGCCAGCAGCCGCGGUAAUACGGAGGUGGCAAGCGUUAUCCGGAUUUAGUGGGUGUAAAGGGAACGCAGGCGGUUUUUUAAGUCUGAUGUGAAAGUCUUCGGCUUAACAGGCGUAGUGCAUUGGAAACUGGGAGACUUGAGUGCAGAAGAGGAGAGUGGAACUCCAGGUGUAGCGGUGAAAUGCGUAGAUAUAUGGAAGAACACCAGUGGCGAAAGCGGCUCUCUGGUCUGUAACUGACGCUGAGGUUCGAAAGCGUGGGUAGCAAACAGGAUUAGAUACCCUUGUAGUC